AAGGACCAUUCUAAGGUUUUCCGCGGAGCACCCAACAGGAUGCAGGUGUGGGGCCAGGAUUUGGGAGCUUGGCCUGAAAUCGAAAACCCUUGAUUACAUCCUUGCCCUGGGACUGUGUCAGUGACAACUAUCACUCAGUGGGACAGAG
This is a small nucleolar RNA of Bison bison bison, 148 nucleotides long. The record is from Ensembl. Lineage: Eukaryota; Metazoa; Chordata; Mammalia; Artiodactyla; Bovidae.